GCCGGGUGUGGUGGUGUAUGCCUGUAAUCCCAGCAGCUUGGGAGGCUGAGGCAGGAGGAUAGCAGGUUCAAAGCUAGCCCAGCAACUCAGCAAGGCACUAAGCAACCUGUCUCUA
Molecule: small RNA, 115 nt
Filed under: Marmota monax (woodchuck)
Lineage: Eukaryota; Metazoa; Chordata; Mammalia; Rodentia; Sciuridae
Source: RNAcentral